RNAcentral lists this ribosomal RNA (464 nucleotides) under uncultured bacterium. Its description in RNAcentral is "bacterial SSU rRNA". It matches the Rfam family "Bacterial small subunit ribosomal RNA", at positions 28 to 507 of the family's 1533-position model. The record is from RNAcentral.
GACGAACGCUGGCGGCGUGCCUAACACAUGCAAGUCGAACGGAGUAAGAAAGCUUGCUUUCUUACUUAGUGGCGGACGGGUGAGUAACGCGUGAGUAACCUGCCUUUCAGAGGGGGAUAACGUCUGGAAACGGACGCUAAUACCGCAUGACAUUCCGAGAUCACAUGGUUUUGGAAUCAAAGGAGCAAUCCGCUGAGAGAUGGACUCGCGUCCGAUUAGCCAGUUGGCGGGGUAAAGGCCCACCAAAGCAACGAUCGGUAGCCGGGCUGAGAGGCUGAACGGCCACAUUGGGACUGAGACACGGCCCAGACUCCUACGGGAGGCAGCAGUGGGGGAUAUUGCACAAUGGAGGAAACUCUGAUGCAGCAACGCCGCGUGAGGGAAGAAGGUCUUCGGAUUGUAAACCUUUGUCCUCAGGGAAGAUAAUGACGGUACCUGAGGAGGAAGCUCCGGCUAACUACGUG